GGGUGCAUAGCUCAGGUGGUAGAGCAGCUGCCUUUUAAGCAGCGGGUCCAAGGUUCGAGUCCUUGUGCACCCACCA
RNAcentral lists this transfer RNA (76 nucleotides) under Alphaproteobacteria bacterium MarineAlpha3_Bin6. RNAcentral's name for it is "tRNA-Lys". It matches the Rfam family "tRNA". Rfam says of the family: Transfer RNA (tRNA) molecules are approximately 80 nucleotides in length. Their secondary structure includes four short double-helical elements and three loops (D, anti-codon, and T loops). Further hydrogen bonds mediate the characteristic L-shaped molecular structure. tRNAs have two regions of fundamental functional importance: the anti-codon, which is responsible for specific mRNA codon recognition, and the 3' end, to which the tRNAs corresponding amino acid is attached (by aminoacyl-tRNA synthetases). tRNAs cope with the degeneracy of the genetic code in two manners: having more than one tRNA (with a specific anti-codon) for a particular amino acid; and 'wobble' base-pairing, i.e. permitting non-standard base-pairing at the 3rd anti-codon position. The record is from RNAcentral. Lineage: Bacteria; Pseudomonadati; Pseudomonadota; Alphaproteobacteria. RNAcentral also lists the same sequence under 1 other name.